CCGACCUUAGCUCAGUUGGUAGAGCGGAGGACUGUAGUGUGAAAUUGUCAGAUAUCCUUAGGUCGCUGGUUCGAAUCCGGCAGGUCGGA
RNAcentral lists this transfer RNA (89 nucleotides) under Cucumis melo (muskmelon). It matches the Rfam family "tRNA". Rfam says of the family: Transfer RNA (tRNA) molecules are approximately 80 nucleotides in length. Their secondary structure includes four short double-helical elements and three loops (D, anti-codon, and T loops). RNAcentral also lists the same sequence under 1 other name. Lineage: Eukaryota; Viridiplantae; Streptophyta; Magnoliopsida; Cucurbitales; Cucurbitaceae. The record is from Rfam by way of RNAcentral.